Molecule: ribosomal RNA, 470 nt
Filed under: uncultured organism
Description: partial 16S ribosomal RNA
Rfam family: Bacterial small subunit ribosomal RNA
Source: RNAcentral
ACUCCUGCGGGAGGCAGCAGUGGGGAAUUUUGGACAAUGGGCGAAAGCCUGAUCCAGCAAUGCCGCGUGAGUGAAGAAGGCCUUCGGGUUGUAAAGCUCUUUUGUCAGGGAAGAAACGGUGAAAGCUAAUAUCUUUUGCUAAUGACGGUACCUGAAGAAUAAGCACCGGCUAACUACGUGCCAGCAGCCGCGGUAAUACGUAGGGUGCAAGCGUUAAUCGGAAUUACUGGGCGUAAAGCGUGCGCAGGCGGUUUUGUAAGUCUGAUGUGAAAUCCCCGGGCUCAACCUGGGAAUUGCAUUGGAGACUGCAAGGCUAGAAUCUGGCAGAGGGGGGUAGAAUUCCACGUGUAGCAGUGAAAUGCGUAGAUAUGUGGAGGAACACCGAUGGCGAAGGCAGCCCCCUGGGUCAAGAUUGACGCUCAUGCACGAAAGCGUGGGAAGCAAACAGGAUUAGAUACCCCAGUAGUCCC